This 409-nucleotide ribosomal RNA is filed under the name uncultured bacterium. RNAcentral describes it as "partial 16S ribosomal RNA". It matches the Rfam family "Archaeal small subunit ribosomal RNA", at positions 338 to 747 of the family's 1478-position model. The record is from RNAcentral.
GGCGCGAAAACUUUACAAUGCUGGCAACAGCGAUAAGGGAACCUCGAGUGCCAGGUUACAAAUCUGGCUGUCGAGAUGCCUAAAAAGCAUUUCAUAGCAAGGGCCGGGCAAGACCGGUGCCAGCCGCCGCGGUAACACCGGCGGCUCGAGUGGUAACCGUUAUUAUUGGGUCUAAAGGGUCUGUAGCCGGCCGGAUAAGUCUCUUGAGAAAUCUGGCAGCUUAACUGUCAGGCUUUCAGGAGAUACUGUCUGGCUCGAGGCCGGGAGAGGUGAGAGGUACUUCAGGGGUAGGGGUGAAAUCUUGUAAUCCUUGAAGGACCACCAGUGGCGAAGGCGUCUCACCAGAACGGACCUGACGGCAAGGGACGAAAGCUAGGGGCACGAACCGGAUUAGAAACCCGGGUAGUCC